This 208-nucleotide ribosomal RNA is filed under the name Nitrospinota bacterium. RNAcentral describes it as "partial 23S ribosomal RNA". It matches the Rfam family "Bacterial large subunit ribosomal RNA", at positions 2720 to 2925 of the family's 2925-position model. Lineage: Bacteria; Pseudomonadati; Nitrospinota. The record is from RNAcentral.
GUUGUGGCGCCAGCCGCAAUGCUCGGUAGCUAUGUUCGGAAGGGAUAACCGCUGAAAGCAUAUAAGCGGGAAGCCUCUCCCGAGAUUAGAUCUCCCUGGACUUCGGUCCCUAAAGGCUCCUCCAAGACUAGGAGGUUGAUAGGCCGGAAGUGUAAGCGUAGCAAUACGUUCAGCUGACCGGUACUAAUUGGCCGUGAGGCUUGACCGU